This 279-nucleotide long non-coding RNA is filed under the name Phoenix dactylifera (date palm). RNAcentral describes it as "long non-coding RNA (PDAC_LNC007003)". Lineage: Eukaryota; Viridiplantae; Streptophyta; Magnoliopsida; Arecales; Arecaceae. The record is from RNAcentral.
UCGAGUUUGGAUUCUUGCUUGGGAGUGCCCGAAAACACAUUGGGUUCGUAAUUUCUAGCAUUUAAUUGGAUUGAGUCUAUUUUAUUUUGGUCACAUUGAGUCCUUUUAUUUUGGGUUUAUUUGAGUUCUUAUUUUGGGUUUGCAAUUUGCUGAUUUAUGUUUGUAAUUGAAUGCCAAGUGGCAUCAAAAGAGUCCAUGUUAUGCAAGGAUUGAGUCAAGUCAUAUUGGGUCAUGUGUGGAGAAUUUAGUUUAGUCGUAUGAGUCAAAUUGAGUCCUUAU